UGACACUCAAGAUCUUUUGGNGCACGAGU
Molecule: non-coding RNA, 29 nt
Filed under: Rattus norvegicus (Norway rat)
Lineage: Eukaryota; Metazoa; Chordata; Mammalia; Rodentia; Muridae
Source: RNAcentral